CAACAGCACCACCAAGCUCCCUUGCAUUGUUCCAGAUAGAGCCUUGCAAAAAAAUGAACAUCAUUUUUUUUUCUUUUAAAUGAAAAGAAAUGAAAUUUAAAAGGAAAAAAAAUUGCAAUAGCAAGGGCCAUUUCAAAUUAUCAGGUCAAAUGCCUAAAUGUCAAGUAAAAGGCUUCUUGGAUUUUAAAUAUUUGAGUUAUUGCCUUCUCAAGGCUCCCCCAAGAGAUCAUCUCAAGAUCAAAAGGUUAAAUGAAGCUCUGAUUGCUAUAUCACUGCGUUUAACCUCACGAAACACUUGCCAACAUGAGGCUCCAAUAGGCAGUGAAUCAAAAACAAAAGCUUAAGUAGCCUUGUUGGACCACAAAUAAAGAGAUCAAAUUAUCAAAACCCUCCAGUAAACACUAAGCAUACCGAAUAUCAGAUUGGACUGAAACCAUCCACUAGUUUUUGAAAAAAAAAAAAAGUGUCAAAUUGAAUGACCUUGAAUACAGCCAGGUAAAAAGAGAAAAAGGUGGAAUAGCAGCUUUCCCCAAAAAAUAGAUAAGUUUUAUGUGUGUGUGUGUGUGU
This 567-nucleotide unclassified non-coding RNA is filed under the name Hevea brasiliensis (rubber tree). Lineage: Eukaryota; Viridiplantae; Streptophyta; Magnoliopsida; Malpighiales; Euphorbiaceae. The record is from RNAcentral.